CAGUAGCCGCGGGAAUACGUAGGUGGCAAGCGUUGUCCGGAAUUAUUGGGCGUAAAGGGCUCGCAGGCGGUUUCUUAAGUCUGAUGUGAAAGCCCCCGGCUCAACCGGGGAGGGUCAUUGGAAACUGGGAAACUUGAGUGCAGAAGAGGAGAGUGGAAUUCCACGUGUAGCGGUGAAAUGCGUAGAGAUGUGGAGGAACACCAUUGGCGAAGGCGACUCUCUGGUCUGUAACUGACGCUGAGGAGCGAAAGCGUGGGGAGCGAACAGGAUUAGAUACCCGCGUAGUCCCUGUCUCUUAUAC
RNAcentral lists this ribosomal RNA (301 nucleotides) under uncultured bacterium. Its description in RNAcentral is "partial 16S ribosomal RNA". It matches the Rfam family "Bacterial small subunit ribosomal RNA", at positions 509 to 807 of the family's 1533-position model. The record is from RNAcentral.